UAACUCAAUGGUAGAGUACUCGGCUUUUAACCGAAUAGUUCUGGGUUCGAGUCCCA
This 56-nucleotide transfer RNA is filed under the name Heterosigma akashiwo. It matches the Rfam family "tRNA", at positions 8 to 62 of the family's 71-position model. From Rfam's summary of the family: Transfer RNA (tRNA) molecules are approximately 80 nucleotides in length. RNAcentral also lists the same sequence under 1 other name. The record is from RNAcentral. Lineage: Eukaryota; Raphidophyceae; Chattonellales; Chattonellaceae.